AAUGAAGUGCCUGACUAAAGGACUAUCGUGAUAGGAUAAUUAAUGUAAUAAAAUACCUUCAUUA
RNAcentral lists this transfer RNA (64 nucleotides) under Hemithyrsocera vittata. RNAcentral describes it as "tRNA-Ile". The record is from RNAcentral. Lineage: Eukaryota; Metazoa; Arthropoda; Insecta; Blattodea; Blattellidae.